AGAUUUUAAGGAUUUUUAUUGUAGAGUCGAUCAGAACCUGUCGAGAACACAAUUACAUCACAUAUAUCAG
Molecule: small RNA, 70 nt
Filed under: Arabidopsis thaliana (thale cress)
Lineage: Eukaryota; Viridiplantae; Streptophyta; Magnoliopsida; Brassicales; Brassicaceae
Description: ATSL119900
Source: RNAcentral